GACGAACGCUGGCGGCGUGCUUAACACAUGCAAGUCGAACGGAAAGGCCCUGCUUUUGUGGGGUGCUCGAGUGGCGAACGGGUGAGUAACACGUGAGUAACCUGCCCUUGACUUUGGGAUAACUUCAGGAAACUGGGGCUAAUACCGGAUAGGAGCUCCUGCUGCAUGGUGGGGGUUGGAAAGUUUCGGCGGUUGGGGAUGGACUCGCGGCUUAUCAGCUUGUUGGUGGGGUAGUGGCUUACCAAGGCUUUGACGGGUAGCCGGCCUGAGAGGGUGACCGGCAAAAUUGGAACUGAGAUACGGCCAAGACUCCUACGGGAGGCAGCGGUGGGGAAUAUUGCACAAUGGGCGGAAGCCUGAUGCAGCAACGCCGCGUGCGGGAUGACGGCCUUCGGGUUGUAAACCGCUUUCGCCUGUGACGAAGCGUGAGUGACGGUAAUGGGUAAAGAAGCAACGGCUAACUACGUG
Molecule: ribosomal RNA, 468 nt
Filed under: uncultured bacterium
Lineage: Bacteria
Description: partial 16S ribosomal RNA
Rfam family: Bacterial small subunit ribosomal RNA
Source: RNAcentral